This 7786-nucleotide long non-coding RNA is filed under the name Triticum aestivum (bread wheat). RNAcentral describes it as "long non-coding RNA (TAES_LNC021717)". The record is from RNAcentral. Lineage: Eukaryota; Viridiplantae; Streptophyta; Magnoliopsida; Poales; Poaceae.
UAUCUUAUUCUUGUACUCGUAAGUUAGCCACCAUACAAUGCUUAGUCGCUGCUGCAACCUCACCACUUGUCCUUUCCAUACCUUUUAAGCUCUGCUAGUCUUGAUACCCAUGGUAAUGGGAUUGAUGAGUCCUCAUGGCUCACAGAUUACUACAACAACAGUUGCAGGUACAUGUAAUGCGAUGAUCUGACGCGAGUGCGAUGCUUGCUUGGUUUUGGAGUUCUGCUUCUUCUUCGAUCAAGGGAUAGGUUCCGGGUCAGGAGAACCUGGGAUUAGCAGGGUGAAUGUCGUUCUUAUUUUUCGUUUGAUUUCAUCCAUAGUCGGAUCCUGCUCUUCUGUUUGGUGAUUGCUAUGUAUUGAUGAACUAUUGUAUUGAAUGUUGUAACUUGUGGUGAGUGUAAGCCUUUAUCUUGUAUUCUCUUCUAUUCAGUACAUGGUAUGUUGUAAUGAUAUCCACCUUGCUAUGCGCUUGAAAUGCGUUUGUGCCCCAAUCAUGAAUUCAUCACAUGAUUGGUAUAGAAUCACAUCUUGGGCGCUACAAGUUGGUAUCAGAGCCUUACCAACCUUAGGAUCCCCCUUGAUUGAUCGAAUCGCUGCCGUUGUUGAGUCUAGAACAAAACUGUUUUGAGUCUUGGGAUUAUAUAUAUCGGAGAGUAGGAUUCUUUUUACUCCUCAACCUCUUCGUCGCUCUGGUGAGGACUACUGAUGUAGAUGUUUUGACUUUCCUCUCCUCAUUUUCACUAUAAAAAAUUAGGAUCACACGAGUAUGUUGGGAUCGUUCUGAUAUUCUUGUGACGAGCAUUGUUCUUGGUGCCUCCUGACAUUUAGCGGUUAUGUGGCAGUGUCCCGAGGAGUUGAGCUCCGAGGUGUUGUCAUCACAAUUUUAUCGUUGCAGUUAUGGAAUACCUGAGUUCGCCGACAUCGAAAUCUCUUUUAUGCAGUUAGUGGUGAGAUAACCUCGACGUCACCCAGUACUGGGGAGGGAGUUCGGGAGUAUUGCCAUAGCUCGUAAAACAGAUGCUUUUCGAAGGUUGAGGUACACGAUUUUUGGAGAUUUCUUGGUUAUGUGUUGAUGGAUGGAUACAUUUGGAGCGUAGGGCUUGUUAGUUGUGUGAUAUAUAUUGUGCCUCCCUGUAUCCCCAAUACCAGAUUGCAUAACCAGAAAGUUUUGGGAGUUUUUAGGUGGGAAUUCAAGUAUCACAUAGGAUAUCUUUCCAACAGACACAUGAUACGAGAUGAGAUCUAUCAUAUGUUUGUUUCCGGCUUAUUCUGCAAGCCAAAUCUUUGUUUUGUUUUGAGUUGUGGUAUUCGAGUUGCUUCAAUGUCAAGUGUUGAUUAUAUACCUUUCCUAAGCGAUGUUCUCAUAUUCCUAUGUGAACACUAAUCCUUCUUAUUUAUCGAGAUUGUCAUCCCAAUUCUAUUUCCAACCAGUGCGCUUCGCUUCGAGAUGAUCCCAUCAUUUUCCCCAUCCGCAAGAUCAAUUCUAAGUUUUCUCAAUGGUGUUUGUUCCAUCCGUCCCAAGUUGCAUUUGUUUUCCCACCCUCCCACCCUAUUUCCUUGCAGAGUCAGACAUCUCAAUCAUGUAUCCGAUUAAUUCACGUGAAGCCUCUACAUUCUUUUCCUUCAAUAUUCUUAAUCAGUGAUUUCUCGUGAAGAUGCUCAGGACCUACAAGUUUUUUUCAUUCUUCGUUCUUGUUUCUUCUUCGGUGGGCUAAAUUCAAGCCUUGUUGAUCAUACCCCUUUCCUCGUUUCAAAUGCUUCCCCAUGCCGGUGCACCUCUUAAUCAUUCACCUCUGUCUAUUCGUAUCUGAAGUGCUAAAGAUAUCUCGGAAGAUUCGUGUUUCCAUUCUUAAUCCGUUCAAGCUAUUUGGAGAUUACUAUCUCAUUCAAGUCAUUUAAUUUAACCGGUGCAAUCUCUCUUCAAAAUCAUUUCAACGGUGUUUAUCUUUGAGUGGGCCCUAACCCACAUGUCUUUCCCAGGAUCUUACCUGACUCUUCUAAUUCUUUUCGAAGUCAUUCUCAAAUUCUUUUCAAAGUUUGACGUAAGAAUGAAUUUUCAUCAGUCAGAUGCCCUCUCCAGGACCGCUUUCAAAUGCUUUUCCUUGUUGGCUCAAUCUUUCUAAUCUUCAUUAUUCGGAGUGCCUCAACAAAUCAUGGUGGUGUUUCUCGUCGUCAUUCUCAGGUUUUGAAGACCGAAGAAGAUUUUUUUUCUAAAUCUUGGUCCGUUCUCUUAAAGAUGUGUAGCCCAAGCUUGAUGCCAUCCUCUCAAAUUGUUUCGGUGCAUCGUUCAAGUAUUCUCUAGUCAGCUCAUGAUCUAUUUGUGCUCAUGUAUCUAAAUUCCGUGAAGUAUCUUUAUUCGUUUUCCAAUUCUUCCCAGUGAAUUGUGCCUUUGCUACUUUCAUUUUCAAUUCUUACGGUGGUUCGUUCAAGAUUCCUUUCCUCUUGUUAUCAUAUCAAUUCAUUUGUUCUUUUCAAGUCCUACCGGUGGUUCGUUCAAGACCUUACCAAGUUUACGCUAUAUCUCUCCUUAAUCCUUUCCAAUGAGAAUGAGUACUAUGCUAAAUCCAUUGUGGGUCAUCAAUCUAAUUGAUGAAGGAUAAGCAUAAUGUAAUUAUUAUUCUUGUUUCAUCGAGUAAAUUCAAUUCCUCAUUCUGGAGGUUCAUCAAAAUUCUCGGUUUCAAUUGUUCAUCUUUCUUUUCCGGAGUUCCAUGUUUUCUCGGUUAUAUGGUCACGAAGCUCCAGCUAAAUCAUUGCAAGACUUCAAUCUUAUUCUUUCAAACCUUCAUGUCUUUUCUACCCUCUUUUCAUUGCCUGGGUUCUUCAUGGAGGCUCUUCAUGGUGGUUCAUCAAGGAUUUAAUUCAUUCUCAAAGUGUUCUUCAAGAUUCUUCUUGGAGGAGCUCAAGUAUUCGUCAUCUUGCAUUGUGAAGUGCAAUUAUUUCUACAUUAUCUUUUGAGGUGGUCUUAUGUCAUUCUUGACAAUUUCCCUUCAUGUUUCAUGAUUCGCAAGUUGUCAUGGAUGAGAUAUGUAAACCCAUCAUUUUCUCUUCGUUCAGGAGAUCCUUUGCAACCCGUCAACCUCUUCAUUGGAGUUAUCCUGGGUAAUAUUUCACCUAAAGCCUUCCCUAAGGAUUGUUGCUAUUUAUGGUGCUCAUAAAUGACCCAAGUUCUUCACUUAUCCCCUCGGUGAAAUAAGUUUUUCGUCUCCUUGUUGAUAUCAAUCCAAUCAAUUGUUUCCGUUAGCAGCUGAUUGUCACCUCACAAUUUUGAGAUGUUUUCAUAAGUCCACAAGGAGUAUAUCAUUUGAUUGUUGAUUCUUAAACAACUCUGUUCAACCCUUCUUCGUAAGGAUGCUCUUUCAAUUUUAAUUGGGAGAUUUGUCAUUCUGCUUCUCCGUUCUUUUCUUUCCAACCAUCUAGUUUUCCAUUCAUUUGUUCCGGAGGCAUUGUGAUGUUGCUCUCUUCACCCAUCACCUCGUUUUGUCAAUAUCAUGUUCUUUUCCUUGCUUAUCCGUUUAGCAGGAGUGUUGUGUCCUCUGCUCAAGUUCUUUUCAUCUUAUCAAAGUCUUGCAUCUCUUUUCAACCGGAGUGUUGUUCGAAUUUGUUCUUCCUUGUUCCUUGGUUAUCUCGUUUCAACCAGAGUGGUUUCAAUCCUUUCUUGUCCAUUGUGCUCGUCAUUCAUAGCUUUGCAACCUCCAAGGUUCACAUGGUGUUCCUUGUUUCUCUUUCUACCGCAGUGCUCUCAACUUCAUUCAACUCUGUUGCGUUCUUUCUUUCAAGUUUUCUACCUCUCAAGGUUUGUUGGUUUCACUUGGUUGUCAAAGAAGCAACUUUGUUUUACCUCUUCCUCUUUCGUUUUUCUCCGGUGCCAUCCUUAGAUCUCGGGUCGAGAUCUCUUGUAAGUGGAGGAGAGUUGUAAUGCCCUCCAGAAGCCUUCCAGUUAUUUCGUUGUUGUUGUGUGUUUACUUGUUUGUUGCAUUUCAUCAUUGCAUCAUCUACAUUGCAUCGGCACUCCGUUGCCGUCAUUGUUUUCAAACUUGCAUCCCCUCAUAGUUGCCGCGUCCCCCCUUGCUUUCGUUGACCGUUUCGAGACCAACCUUGUUCUUCGUUUUCCCUCUUGCCUAAACCGGAGUCUCUUUGCACAGUGCAUCGACCCCUCACCCGUGUCCGAAACUUCCCCGAACCUGAACCCGACUAUCAUUACCGUCGGGUCCGGAUCAUCCCCAAACAUCUAUAAAACAUCUCCGUUUUUUUCAUUGGACUCCCCAACCUAGUUAUCUCGACCGUCCGAUCUAAAUCGAAGGGUCCUUUUAGCCCCUAGUCAAGGCACCCUACCUAUUUAUACAGUCAAACCCUAGCCUAUCCUGUCCAAUCCACCAAUCCUCCUCGCCACCGCCACUCCUCUUCCUCGGGAUCCAACCCGCAUCCACUCUCUCCGUCCCUCGUUUUCAGCACCAGGCCAACCAGCACCCCCCCUUCGACCCACCUCGCUCGAUUCCCCCCGCUCGCGCCGAUCGAGCCCCUAUCUAGGAGCUCCCACACCAACCCAGCACCGGCCUCCCGUGCUCGACCUCAUCCCCAACCUCGCAAGCCUCCUCGAUCCUCUCCUGAGCAGGUGCUCUCCCAGAGCCCCGCGUCCCCGCCUCCGUUCGGCCAGCCACGUCGUCGGCGCACCCAGCAGAUGAGAGCCGUCCCUACUGCUUUUCCUUCUUCCCCUGCUCCUCCCGCCUCCGCUAACCUCUCUCUCCCUCGUUUUUCCUUUCACCGAGCAGGAGCGCCAUGGAUGGCCGCCCGUGGAUGUCCCCUCCUGCUGUUUUCCCUUCGUCGCCGGAGCUCCCGCAAGCAGACCCGCCGUCUCUAGGCCAUCCCCGUCCUCUGCAUCGCCAUGGACGCCCACCCGGAGCUCCACGCCCCGCCUUCCCCCACCUCGCUCGUGACCUCCGCUACACCGAAUCCGGCAGGAUUCCAUCGCAGCGCCAAGUCCCUUGCCUCGCUGCUUCUUUGCCCCUUGUCACUGGAGACCCCGCACAAGUCCCUGCUACCGGAGCCUUGCCAAGUCCCGCGCCAAGUCAGCACGGCGCCGUCGCCUGCUUCUGUCAUGCAAGCACGCAAGGACGAGGCCAGCGCCAAGUCCCACUCCUUCCCCCUGCCUCGACCGCGUUGACCUCGGUCCUCGUUUCGAUCUGGAGGCAGCAGUCAACUGCGUCGCUAGCCACCGCCAGCGCCAAGGCCCAGCUCGCCUCGCCUCGCCUCAGUCUAUCUCCACGCGCAGCUCAAACCGGCCCAAGCCACAUCCGCAGCCCAUCCCCACCGACCGGCCUCGCUGGGCCGCAAGGUGAGAUCCACCUCCAUCUAUUGUUGGGCUUUGGCCCAAUAGCGCUAGUGUUGUUUAGUGCUCAGUGCGCUUGUUGUUAUUCUGCACCCAUGCUUAUUGGGCCAGCCUACCAGAUUCGGCCCGCAUGUUUUUUUCUUGUUCUGCGAAUUAUCUAUUAUCCGGAGAAUUACAGUUUUACAAAAAAAACCUCAUGCUUCAUGCAUUUAAUAACUCUUGAACCGUGCAUCGGAUUAAAAUGUUUUAUAUAUGUAAAAUGCUUAGAAUUUCAUCUAGUUUCAUAAUAUGCCACUUUCAUCUAUGUUUAAAAUGUUGUUUGUUUAAAUUUUCUUAGAUGCCAUGUUAAAAUGAUUUAUUUAAUAACUAAAUCACCGUAGCUCCGAAUUAAAUAAACUUUAUAUGUAAAUGGGGUGGAAUAAUGCAUAGUUUAACAUGAUGCACUUACUUUUGCUAUUUAACAACUCUAAAAUAUGGUUUAGGGCAGAACAGUACCAACUUUGAAAUAUGCACAUGGGGAUUUUUCGGACUUGUUGUUUGUUGUUCUGGCCUCAUUUAAACUUGCCUAGAUAGGCAGUUUUAUUAUGCUUCACCCCUUUCCAUGUUUAAUAACAUUUAAUAUUGUUGGGUACAUAACCGAGAGAGAACUAAAUAAGUCAUGUGGUAUUUCGUUAAUAUGCAACUCGUUGCAUAUUGAACUCCACUUAACUUGUAGUAUUGUUUGUGGCACUUUGUCAUGCCACGAGUCAUUAAACCAGACAUGCAUCAUACUUGAUUGUGAUCAUGCCAUGACUAUGCUUGUUGGUUUACCAUGUUGUUUGUUUCUUUCCGGUGUUUCUUCUUCUUGAUAGUUUCGAUAAUGUUGCGAUUGUGAGGAUUCGUUCGACUACGUCCGUUCGUCUUCUUCAUGGACUCAUUCUUCUUCCUAGCGGGAUUUCAGGCAAGAUGACCGUCACCUUGGAUCUCACUACUAUCUUUGCUAUGCUAGUUGUCUCGAUGCUAUUGCUAUGUCGCACUACCUACCACUUGUUUACCAAGCUUCCCAAAUUGCCAUGAUAGCCUCUAACCAUUUUCACCCUUCCUAGCAAACCGUUGUUUGGCUAUGUUACCGCUUUGCUCAGCCCCUCUUAUAGCGUUGCUAGUUGCAGGUGCAGUUUGUUCCAUGUUGGGUCAUGGAUUUCAUGGAUAUCUUGGGAUAUCACAAUAUCUCUUAUUUAAUUAAUGCAUCUAUAUACUUGGUAAAGGGUGGAAGGCUCGUCCUUAUGCCUGGUGUUUUAUUCCACUCUUGCCGCCCUAGUUUCCGUCGUACCGGUGUCAUGUUCCUUGAUUUUAUGUCCCUAACACGAUGAGGGGUAUGGGACCCUCUUGACAGUUUGCUUUGAAUUAAACUCUUCCAGCAAGGCCCAACAUUGGUUUUACCAUUUGCCUAAUAACAACAAAACUUCCAUUGGGACUUGCCGGCCCCCGUGGAUUUUUAAUCAACCCCCGGGCCAGUGCUCGUCUGAGUGUUGGUCCAAACCGGACGAUGUCCGGCUCCCCCUGGGCGACUAGGGUCUCAGCCAACCCGACGUCUGGCCCAUCCGGUGUGCCCUGAGAACGAGGUACGUGCGGCUCCUAUAGGGAUUUGUCGGCACAUCGGGAGUCUUGCUGGUUUUGUUUUACCAUUGUCUAAAUGUCUUGUGCACCGGGAUUCCGAGUCUGGUCGGGUGUCCCGCGAUGGAGAAUUGUCUCCGCGGAUCGUGAGCUUGUCAUGGGCUAAGUUGGGACACCCCUGCAGGGUUUAAACUUCCGAGAGCCGUGCCCGCGAUUAUGUGGCAGAUGGGAAUUUGUUAAUAUCCGGUUGUAGUGAACUUGAAGUAAACUCAAUUAAAAUACACCAACCGCAUUGCAUAACCGUGACUGUCUCCUUUCGGGGAAGUUCGAGAGGAGAACACGGUUGGGUUAUGUUUGAAUGUAACUAGUUCAGGAUCACUUCUUGAUCAUUACUAGUUUGCGACCGUUGCGUAUAUUCUUAUCUUAUUCUUGUACUCAUAAGUUAGCCACCAUACAAUGCUUAGUCGCUUCUGCAACCUCGCCACUUAUCCUUUCCAAACCCUUUAAGCUUUGCUAGUCUUGAUACCCAUGGUAAUGGGAUUGCCGAGUCCUCGUGGCUCACAGAUUACUACAACAAUAGUUGCAGGUACAGGUAAUGCAAUGAUCUGAUGCGAGUGUGAUGCUUGCUUGCUUUUGGAGUUCUACUUCUUCUUUGAUCAAGGGAUAGGUUCUGGGUCGGGAGAACCUGGGAUUAGCAGGGUGGAUGUCAUUCUUCUUUUUCGUUUGAUUUCAUCCGUAGUCGGAUCCUGCUCUUCUGUAUGGUGAUUGCUAUGUAUUGAUGAACUAUUGUAUUGAAUGUUGUAACUUGUGGCGAGUGUAAGCCUUUAUCUUGUAUCCUCUUCUAUUCAGUACAUGAUAUGUUGUAAU